Molecule: ribosomal RNA, 410 nt
Filed under: uncultured bacterium
Lineage: Bacteria
Description: bacterial SSU rRNA
Rfam family: Bacterial small subunit ribosomal RNA
Source: RNAcentral
CGGCACGCCUAAACAUGCAAGUCGAACGAAGUAGCAAUACUUAGUGGCAGACGGGUGAGUAACAUGUAGGUAUCUGCCCUUUGGCCUGGAAUAACACGAGGAAACUUGUGCUAAUACCGGAUAAGUCUUUACGGAGAACGCUUUAUGCACCAUUGGAUGAGCCUGCACUUGAUUAGUUUGUUGGUGGGGUAAUGGCCUACCAAGACUGUGAUCAAUAGCUGAUUUGAGAGGAUGAUCAGCCACAUUGGGACUGAGACACGGCCCAAACUCCUACGGGAGGCAGCAGUGGGGAAUCUUGCACAAUGGAGGAAACUCUGAUGCAGCGAUGCCGCGUGAGUGAAGAAGGCCUUUGGGUUGUAAAGCUCUUUCGUCGGGGAAGAAAAUGACUGUACCCGAAUAAGAAGGUCCGG